AAACCAACAGGGAUUGCCCUAGUAACGGCGAGUGAAGCGGCAACAGCUCAAAUUUGAAAUCUGGCUUCGGCCCGAGUUGUAAUUUGUAGAGGAUGCUUUUGGUGAGGUGCCUUCUGAGUUCCCUGGAACGGGACGCCAGAGAGGGUGAGAGCCCCGUAUAGUCGGCCACCGAUCCUCUGUAAAGCUCCUUCGACGAGUCGAGUAGUUUGGGAAUGCUGCUCAAAAUGGGAGGUAUAUCUCUUCUAAAGCUAAAUAUUGGCCAGAGACCGAUAGCGCACAAGUAGAGUGAUCGAAAGAUGAAAAGCACUUUGAAAAGAGGGUUAAAUAGCACGUGAAAUUGUUGAAAGGGAAGCGCUUGUGACCAGACUUGUGCCGGGCUGAUCAUCCAGUGUUCUCACUGGUGCACUCGACCCGGCUCAGGCCAGCGUCGGUUCUCGUAGGGGGAUAAAAGCUUCGGGAACGUGGCACCUUCGGGUGUGUUAUAGCCCGUUGCUUAAUACCCUUGUGGGGACCGAGGUUCGCGCUCUGCAAGGACGCUGGCAUAAUGGUCAUCAGCGACC
RNAcentral lists this ribosomal RNA (560 nucleotides) under Coniochaeta mutabilis. RNAcentral's name for it is "LSU rRNA". It matches the Rfam family "Eukaryotic large subunit ribosomal RNA", at positions 62 to 649 of the family's 3401-position model. The record is from RNAcentral. Lineage: Eukaryota; Fungi; Ascomycota; Sordariomycetes; Coniochaetales; Coniochaetaceae.